This 409-nucleotide ribosomal RNA is filed under the name uncultured microorganism. Its description in RNAcentral is "bacterial SSU rRNA". It matches the Rfam family "Bacterial small subunit ribosomal RNA", at positions 9 to 414 of the family's 1533-position model. The record is from RNAcentral.
GAGUUUGAUCGUGGCUCAGAUUGAACGCUGGCGGCAUGCCUUACACAUGCAAGUCGAACGGCAGCAUGAUCUAGCUUGCUAGAUUGAUGGCGAGUGGCGAACGGGUGAGUAAUACAUCGGAACGUGCCCUGUAGUGGGGGAUAACUAGUCGAAAGAUUAGCUAAUACCGCAUACGACCUGAGGGUGAAAGUGGGGGGCCGCAAGGCCUCAUGCUAUAGGAGCGGCCGAUGUCUGAUUAGCUAGUUGGUGGGUAAAGGCCCACCAAGGCGACGAUCAGUAGCUGGUCUGAGAGGACGAUCAGCCACACUGGGACUGAGACACGGCCCAGACUCCUACGGGAGGCAGCAGUGGGGAAUUUUGGACAAGUGGGCGAAAGCCGUGAUCCAGCAAUGCGCGUGUGUGAAGAAGG